UUUAUCAGAGAGUUUGAUCCUGGCUCAGGAUGAACGCUGGCGGCGUGCUUAACACAUGCAAGUCGAACGGGGAUUAUUUCAUUGAAGCUUCGGCAGAUUUGGCUUAAUCCUAGUGGCGGACGGGUGAGUAACGCGUGGGUAACCUGCCUUGUACAGGGG
Molecule: ribosomal RNA, 159 nt
Filed under: Ruminococcus sp. AM41-10BH
Lineage: Bacteria; Bacillati; Bacillota; Clostridia; Eubacteriales; Oscillospiraceae
Description: partial 16S ribosomal RNA
Rfam family: Bacterial small subunit ribosomal RNA
Source: RNAcentral